UUACCAUGCAGUCACGGGGGCCAGCAAUGGCAACCGGCGAACGGGUGCGUAACACGUGAGCAACCUACCGAAAUGAGGGGGAUAGCCGUCCCAACGGACGGGUAAUACCGCAUACGCUCGAGACCAGGCAUUUGGACUCGAGGAAACCUCCGGGGCGUUUCGAGGGGCUCGCGGCCUAUCAGCUAGUUGGUGAGGUAACGGCUCACCAAGGCGACGACGGGUAGCUGGUCUGAGAGGAUGGCCAGCCACAUUGGGACUGAGAUACGGCCCAGACUCCUACGGGAGGCAGCAGUGGGGAAUCUUGCGCAAUGGCCUAACGGCUGACGCAGCGACGCCGCGUGAGGGAUGACGCUCUUCGGAGUGUAAACCUCUUUUGCCUGAGACGAAUUGUCAGCUUUAGCUGAUUUGACUGUAUCGGGUGAAUAAGCACCGGCUAACUCCGUGCCAGCA
Molecule: ribosomal RNA, 450 nt
Filed under: uncultured bacterium
Lineage: Bacteria
Description: bacterial SSU rRNA
Rfam family: Bacterial small subunit ribosomal RNA
Source: RNAcentral